This 424-nucleotide ribosomal RNA is filed under the name uncultured bacterium. RNAcentral describes it as "bacterial SSU rRNA". It matches the Rfam family "Bacterial small subunit ribosomal RNA", at positions 355 to 796 of the family's 1533-position model. The record is from RNAcentral.
UGGGGAAUAUUGGACAAUGGGGGAAACCCUGAUCCAGCCAUGCCGCGUGAGUGAUGAAGGCCUUAGGGUUGUAAAGCUCUUUUACCUGGGAAGAUGAUGACGGUACCAGGAGAAUAAGCACCGGCUAACUUCGUGCCAGCAGCCGCGGUAAUACGAAGGGUGCUAGCGUUGUUCGGAAUCACUGGGCGUAAAGCGUGCGUAGGCGGCGCUACCAGUCAGGGGUGAAAUCCUUGGGCUUAACCCAAGAACUGCCUCUGAAACUGUAGCGCUGGAGUGUCGGAGGGGAUAGCGGAAUUUCUAAUGUAGCGGUGAAAUGCGUAGAUAUUAGAAGGAACACCGGUGGCGAAGGCGGCUAUCUGGACGACAACUGACGCUGAGGCACGAAAGCGUGGGGAUCAAACAGGAUUAGAUACCCGUGUAGUCC